GCCCUCGUGGAUGAAGGUACAUCACCCAUUCAGUAUUAUUAGUAGUGAAUGUCUAUGGGAGGUGGGGGUUCGAGUCCCUCCGAGGGCA
This is a non-coding RNA of Mycena rebaudengoi, 88 nucleotides long. The record is from the annotation of a GenBank genome assembly. NCBI's taxonomy places the organism in Eukaryota, Fungi, Basidiomycota, Agaricomycetes, Agaricales, Mycenaceae.